Molecule: long non-coding RNA, 5098 nt
Filed under: Xyrichtys novacula (pearly razorfish)
Lineage: Eukaryota; Metazoa; Chordata; Actinopteri; Labriformes; Labridae
Source: RNAcentral
GAUUGGAUUUGGGGAUUUUUACUCAUUAGCUAACCCAGCCAACAUCACCUCAUAGAGCAUUAAAAUUGUCCUUUUUUAAAAAAUAUGCCCUUGCUUGGUUAAAAGUGAUACAAACACUAUAUUUUCGAUGAACUAGCUCUACACUCUAAAGAACAAUGGUGUUUAUUCUCAUCUCACCAGCAAGAAGCUAUGCUAGUUUUUUCUCAAGGACCUGUAGCUUAAGCCUCAACACAUUUUAGACAAAAAAAGUUACUGUUUCAAAAAGUUGUGAUUGAGUGAAAUAGUUUUCUGUGUGACUGAUGUCAAUGCUGAUCAUGGGAGUCCAUGCCACAUUUUCAAACUUUGCCUUCAGUAGAACGCAACAACCUGAUAAUACCAGACAAUGAGAAAUAGGACUGUUGAACUGCAGUGAAAAACUUCCAAAAAUAAGUUUGAAGGACAGGUUUAUAAAAGCAGUUUGAUUGGUCCAAAGAACCAAGAAAACCCUCCUACUGGCCGUAAACAUGUGUUUGAAAUGGACACCUACACAGCACAUCUCAAGUAGAAGGUAAACCCCAGUAACUUUAGCUCAGUGUGGGCAGUGUGUGUUAUAUAGUCUGUAUGGUCAUUUAUAUGUUGGUACUCUACAUAUCAUAGGUCUAUAAAACCCUUUGAUUGAAAGGAGCAGGUUUGACCGGGUGUGGAGGUGUGAAGGGGUGAGGGUGGGGGUUCUCACAUUGAAAUACAGAUUUAUUAGACUUCACAAGGGGGGAUGUUUAUUAUGCAGAUAAAUUGUUCUAAAGGCACAAUGUGUCUAUCUAAAGGGUCAGAAUAUAGACUGAAAGGCUCUUCUGCUCACCCUUUGUGCCAAUAAAGUGACCGUGGCCUUUACGGAGGAGAUAUAUUACGUGUGUGAUCCUCCAUUCAUCUAGUUCAAAUUAUUUUGCACAAAACAAGAACCACUCUAUACUUCAAUAUCUUCCAAAUGGUGCAUUUGGUGACCACUCAUUGAGGUCAUGAUAAGGGAUGUCCCGGUACGAUAUUAAUAUGUGACCGAUAUCAGCAAAAAAACAAAUAUUGGAUUAUAUCAGCCUAUAUCUGAAACCUCAGAUAUCAGCACUCCGAUACAAGCAGUCCAUUCCAGACUCCACUUCAGCACCUCUAUCUAGCAGUGCCCUGAUCCAGCAUGCAGAGCCCACGUGGUCACAACAACAGUGUGUACUAAGGUACUAACAAAGUAGCAAGGAGUAAGAGUGAUAUUGGCCUUGAGGCAGUAUUUUUUGUUAAAGUCCGAAAAACACGCCGAGCUGAAGGAAAAACUUGUCAUGCACAAUCGAAGGCUACAAUAUCGGUAUCGUAUCACAAGUCAAAAAGUUGUAUCAAGACACCCCUAGUCAUGAUACUUGCUACCUCCCACUGGCAGGAAACGUCCCAAAUUUUUGCUCUCCUCUUGUUUUCCAAGUCUAAGAACAAUAAAAACGUUACAGUCUAUCUUAUCAAGUUUCUGUAUGUGCAGCUUUCACUACAAUCAAACAGUUUUUAUCAAGUUUGGAGAGGGUGAUAAGGAUGUGCACACAGAAAACACCUGUACACAUGCUGAAUAUCCUGAAUUUAGUUUAAACCAAAACAGGUAUAAAUAAGCUGAAGGUUUCCAGGUAAUGUGGCAGGAGUUCAUUUCCAGUCGCUGGCCCUGAACAUACAGUAUACAUUAAAGACUACAUAAAAUGCAUAAAUAUACAUAGUCUACAUUUGCAUCUCCUACUUUAAACUGAAUUUACACCAGGACCAAAAAGACUGUCAUGGUUGCUUACUGCAGCUGAUAGUCUUGAUGUAUUUAAUGCAUAGCAGCCACUCUAUAGGAGGACAGCUGACAGCAGGGCCUCAGAUCAUGCUGACACACUGGAACGAGCUUGCCAAGGACUCUGUGUCCGUCCAAGUUUCAAUCAACAUGCCUACGAGCAGCCAAGAGCCCAGAGGAUGGAAUAAGUUGGUGAGAGGACUUGUAGAUAGUUGACAGGUAGAAGACAGAAAACGACAGGAUAAGAAGGGAUGACACUGAGGGAUGAGAAUCAGAUUAGGGAGCAGACACAGAAAGAAGAUUAGGUGAAAGGGAAAGACCAGAAGCCAAUAGAGGAGUGAGGUGAGACACAGGUGAGAAUGACACAACAACUAUGUGUUCCAAAUAAGUCAAUACUCCCCACUGAGUCCAAUUUAAAGUGAGUUAGCCAUUACACAGAGUACUAAACAUGUACCUAUGAACAUCUACUCUGUCAGUUUCCAUGUAGAAGUGUGUGUUGUGCAUAUGGAGAAAAUCCUGUUUGCUCUGCGGAAGUCACUGAAGUACUAUUUAUGACUCUCCAGACAGAGGGCAAAGAAACAACACAUAAGGGUCAAUAACAUAUUACAUGUCCUUCAACAACCCUGAAAAAUGGUAUAUGAAACUGAUAAGUGAUUUACAUCUACAAGGUUAAAGUGUCAGGUUGUAAGUUUCGACAGAGGCUCUUUUUUCUGUAUUUUAAUGUCUUAAAUUCACAUUCUGUCUUAGUUUUGCAACUCGGUGAGAUGAAGGUUUGGGCCUGAAUUCAAGUUACGCAACAAAGCCAUAAAUUCAUUUCAUUACACUGCAUUCUAUUCAGAAAUUGUGCCUGUAUAAGGUAAAAAGCAGUAAGGCUAACUCACUAAAUUCACACAGCCCCAGUGUUUCUAUGGUAUUAAGCUCAGGUUACUAUCUGUUUUUAUUCCCUGAGUUUUUAUUCAAUUACUUAGCAACUAAAAUGGCAGUGCGUGGUGAGAGUACAUUAAAACAUCAACUCAUGUGACAAGGUCAGCAACUGCAGUGGGAAAUGAAGGUUGGCCAAGGAAAUUAUACACUUCUUAACGAUACCAACAAUACAACACAUUCAGAUCAGAUAUGAUACAAUCAAUGCAACGCAAUAGGAUGAGAUGAGAUACAAAAAAUACGAUACGAUUCAACAAGAGAGGAUACCAUAGGACACAAUACGGUAUGAUACGAUUCAACACGAUAGGAUACGACACAAUACGAUAUGAUAUGAAUCAACAAGAUAGGAUAGGAUAAGACACAAUAUGACGCCAUUCAACAAGACAGGAUAAGGUAUGAUUCAACAUGAUCGGACAAGAUGGGAUACAAUACAAUACCAAACAAUUCAACAGGAAAGGUUAGGAUAAGAAACACUAUGAUAUGGUACGAUUCAACACGAUAAAAUACAACACGAUACGAUUUUAUACUUUAUGAUUCAACAUGAUGGAAUACGAUACAAUUUGAUACAAAAGAAUAUGAUACAAUUCUACACGAUCAACUUCAAUACUAAACAUGACAUGAUAGCAGAAAAGGAACAAUAGGAUAUAGUGUGAUUCAAUGUGAUGAGAUAGCAAAGUAUGGAAAACUACGAUUCAAUAGGAUUCACGACAAAUUUGAAGAUGUCAUGUAAUACAAUAUGAUAUUGUACUGGACUUUAAAGUACAAUAUAAUACAAUACGAUGUGAAAUAUUACAAUACAGUACAAUAGGACAUGGCAAGGUACAGUGCAAUACAAUACAAUAUGAUUAUCUGAUAAAUCUAUCAAUGAACCUUUCAAUUAAUGAAUGAUAUUCACUUUUUAUGAUCCCUUUUACAAAGACUACGAUAGGGAUACUAUGCCAGAGACAACUCUAUUUUUAUUGAUAAAUUUCAAGAUAUUCACAGAAUGAUACAACAUAAUAUCUGAUCAAGUGGACAAUAAGAAAAUGUCUAUCAAAGGUAAAAUGUAGGAUUAUUAUCAUUGCAGAGUCAAAUCAGAGGGUCAAUCUGCUUAAAGAGACACAUUACUCUAAAUCAGAAUACAAAGUUUUAUCACCAGUCGUAGGAUACUUCUAAGGGCCAGGAUGACAAUUACUUAACCUGCGUAUGUGAACACUUUGCAGAGACACAGAGAAAAAAAAAGGCUUCUGUGAACCCUCCUAAUUUACAGCAAAGCCAUAUCAUGCAUGUUUUAACAAGGAUGUUCUGGUCAAGAAGUGAAAGUCAGGAGGGAGAAACAAGCAAAACAGAGCUUAUUAAAAAAGAUUCCUGAUUGCCCUAUGAGCAACUUCCAAUUAGAUAGGUAAUGAAGCUAGCUUCAUUAUAAAAGUAUAACCCAGAGGAAAAGAAAAUGACACACGCAUCAGCACUACUGCACACAACAAGGAGCUGCACAAGGGCGGGAGGUAAAAAGAUACUGCAGUGGUAGUCAAGCUUUCAUGUGAAUGUAUCAGACCAGCACUGUGGUGUGCUGUGGUGUAGAAGUUGCAGAGGUUGCAGGUAUAGGGAAAGAUUUUUUAAAGAAUAUUCUGAUGUAAAAAAUAAACUAGUGACAUCGUUCUCAUGCAUAUUAAAUAACAGCCAGGAGCUAAUUACCUUGGCUCAGUUUGGGGCAUAAACCGAAUAAAACAUGGAUGUUGGCUCAGUGACAGCAGCCAUUAGUUUCUGAAGGAGGGUUCUGCAAAGUGACUGCCAAAUAAGUCAGCAUAUUAGAAAGGCACACUAACUUCUCUUUUGGUGUAGCUACAGAAACAGACCAAGGCAUGGAGCUGAGACCGGCUUUCAGCCUCCUGGAAACUGCUGUGUUGUGCCCACUUGUAAGUCAACUCAGCCACGCCCCUGAUUACACACAUCUACACAGGUCGGAGCCUUACGAUUAUCAAAACAGAUGAUUAACAACCUCCUAUUCAGACCCAAACCCCCCUUAUUUUCGACCAAGGGUUAAACAUGUUUGAUGCUACAGUAAAGUGGACAUCCUGACAUGAGUUUACAGGUAUUUCUGACCUUUUAGAGCCAGCAAAACAGUGGUGUUUUGGCUUAAUAUGUUCAACAUUAAGGGCUCUAUUUUCAUGCCCGUCGGUGGCGUGGUGGAGGGUGACCGCAGUGGUAUUUUAGUCUGGCGAAGCCUGGUGCACAGCCAGUUUGAUAUUUUCAUGGACUGAGGUGCACUGAGGAGUGCCAAGCUGUAGGGGGAGUAGGUGGACAAAAUCCGCUUGCGCAGUAACAUUUUCGAGCUGGCCUGCAACGUAGAAAGUGUGCUGAAAGCUUGCCGAUUCAAACCCGGUCAUCUUUCAGCGCAGGCAGAUUGAGCUGGUCUAGUGG